Molecule: ribosomal RNA, 256 nt
Filed under: uncultured prokaryote
Description: partial 16S ribosomal RNA
Rfam family: Bacterial small subunit ribosomal RNA
Source: RNAcentral
UGGGGAAUAUUGGGCAAUGGGGGCAACCCUGACCCAGCGACGCCGCGUGGGUGAAGAAAUCCUUCGGGAUGUAAAGCCCUGUUGUAUGGGAAGAGCAGAAGACGGUACCAUACGAGGAAGCCCCGGCAACCUACGUGCCAGCAGCCGCGGUAAUGCGUAGGGGGCAAGCGUUGUCCGGAAUUACUGGGCGUAAAGCGCACGCAGGCUGAAUUAUAAGUCGGUAGUCAAAGGCGGAGGCUUAACUUCCGUUUAUCUA